This 31-nucleotide ribosomal RNA is filed under the name Diaporthe eres. RNAcentral describes it as "partial 18S ribosomal RNA". The record is from RNAcentral. Lineage: Eukaryota; Fungi; Ascomycota; Sordariomycetes; Diaporthales; Diaporthaceae. RNAcentral also lists the same sequence under 2 other names.
UUCCGUAGGGUGAACCUGCGGAGGGAUCAUU